ACGGACAUACCACGCUGAAUAUACCGGUUCUCUUUAGAUCGAAGUCAAGCAUCAUUGGGCGCGGUCAGUACUUGGGUGGGUGACCACCUGGGAACACCUCGUGCCGUU
RNAcentral lists this ribosomal RNA (108 nucleotides) under Caerostris extrusa. The record is from RNAcentral. Lineage: Eukaryota; Metazoa; Arthropoda; Arachnida; Araneae; Araneidae.